GAUGAACGCUGGCGGCGUGCCUAAUACAUGCAAGUCGAGCGAACAGACGAGGAGCUUGCUCCUUUGACGUUAGCAGCGGACGGGUGAGUAACACGUGGGUAACCUACCUAUAAGACUGGGAUAACUUCGGGAAACCGGAGCUAAUACCGGAUAAUAUUUCGAACCGCAUGGUUCGAUAGUGAAAGAUGGCUUUGCUAUCACUUAUAGAUGGACCUGCGCCGUAUUAGCUAGUUGGUAAGGUAACGGCUUACCAAGGCAACGAUACGUAGCCGACCUGAGAGGGUGAUCGGCCACACUGGAACUGAGACACGGUCCAGACUCCUACGGGAGGCAGCAGUAGGGAAUCUUCCGCAAUGGGCGAAAGCCUGACGGAGCAACGCCGCGUGAGUGAUGAAGGUCUUCGGAUCGUAAAACUCUGUUAUUAGGGAAGAACAAACGUGUAAGUAACUGUGCACGUCUUGACGGUACCUAAUCAGAAAGCCACGGCUAACUACGUGCCAGCAGCCGCGGUAAUACGUAGGUGGCAAGCGUUAUCCGGAAUUAUUGGGCGUAAAGCGCGCGUAGGCGGUUUUUUAAGUCUGAUGUGAAAGCCCACGGCUCAACCGUGGAGGGUCAUUGGAAACUGGAAAACUUGAGUGCAGAAGAGGAAAGUGGAAUUCCAUGUGUAGCGGUGAAAUGCGCAGAGAUAUGGAGGAACACCAGUGGCGAAGGCGACUUUCUGGUCUGUAACUGACGCUGAUGUGCGAAAGCGUGGGGAUCAAACAGGAUUAGAUACCCUGGUAGUCCACGCCGUAAACGAUGAGUGCUAAGUGUUAGGGGGUUUCCGCCCCUUAGUGCUGCAGCUAACGCAUUAAGCACUCCGCCUGGGGAGUACGACCGCAAGGUUGAAACUCAAAGGAAUUGACGGGGGCCCGCACAAGCGGUGGAGCAUGUGGUUUAAUUCGAAGCAACGCGAAGAACCUUACCAAAUCUUGACAUCCUUUGACCCUUCUAGAGAUAGAAGUUUCCCCUUCGGGGGACAAAGUGACAGGUGGUGCAUGGUUGUCGUCAGCUCGUGUCGUGAGAUGUUGGGUUAAGUCCCGCAACGAGCGCAACCCUUAAGCUUAGUUGCCAUCAUUAAGUUGGGCACUCUAAGUUGACUGCCGGUGACAAACCGGAGGAAGGUGGGGAUGACGUCAAAUCAUCAUGCCCCUUAUGAUUUGGGCUACACACGUGCUACAAUGGACAAUACAAAGGGCAGCGAAACCGCGAGGUCAAGCAAAUCCCAUAAAGUUGUUCUCAGUUCGGAUUGUAGUCUGCAACUCGACUACAUGAAGCUGGAAUCGCUAGUAAUUCGUAGAUCAGCAUGCUACGGUGAAUACGUUCCCGGG
RNAcentral lists this ribosomal RNA (1370 nucleotides) under uncultured bacterium. RNAcentral describes it as "16S ribosomal RNA". It matches the Rfam family "Bacterial small subunit ribosomal RNA", at positions 28 to 1378 of the family's 1533-position model. The record is from RNAcentral.